CGUGAUUGAGGCAGAGAGUGCUGCUGAUCGCGAUCCAGAUCCGGGUCAAGAAUCACCUCCUGAUCCUAAGGAAACCUCAGCUGACGUAGAUGUACGUUCUCUUCGCGUGAACGCUCAGUCUGUAUUGGCUUGGGCCACAGAGCGUUCCGAAUCCCAGCCGCUAAAGACCCACAGAAGGCAAGAAGCUUGCGUUGCAAAGCUGCUGUCCCGCCUGACUGCGGAGAAAGAAGACUCGUUUAUGGUUGUUCUACAGCCGCUGCUGACGUCCAUCAGCUCUGUCCUGCUCCCAGCUGCAGAUAGGCCUGGAUUUCAAUGAGUCGUGUCCCAACUCCGGUGUGAACGAUUUCCCGACGUCAAGACGAAGUGGGGUCAAGUCAUGGGUGUUGCAAGGAAGCUGUCACAAGAUGAUCCGGUAUUGAACGGCUACAGCACAACCAAGAGAACGAAAUGUACGUCGCAAUCAAGCUAUGUCGUUGCCAUCUUCUAUGUGCCAUGCGUUACCUGAUGUGCCAGCCUGCUAUGUCGGAUACCGCUAACCAUGCAUCGACUAGGCGCCAGGCGCGAACUGAUGGUGGUGGUGGUGGUGGACCUGCCAGGCGCGAACUGAUGGUGGUGCUGGACUGGUGGUGGUGAGAAGGAGAGCUCUGUACCAGAAUAACUUUGCAGUUUAGAGAGCGUGUCUGGGCAGGCGUGUAUUUACCCCCAUAUUGCCAGGUGUGUAUUUACCACCAUAUGAACCAACCAUAAGUGCAGUUGCAGUGGAGUCUUCAACUUCAUUCUCCCGAGUCAAGCUCCUUGUGAAGACAUGUAAGAAGAAGAUUGCCUGAUGAGUCCAGCCGGGACGAAAGGUACGUCGCAAUCAAGCUAUGUUGUUGCUGUGUCAUCUGCUAUGCGCCAUACGCUACCUGAUGUACCAGCCUGCUAUGUCGGACACCACUCACCCUGCAUCGACUAGGCGCCAGACGCGAAUUGAUGAUGGUGGUGGUGGUGGCGGGAAGGAGAGCUCUGUGCCAGAAUAACUUUUCAGUUUAGAGAGCGUGUGUAGGCAGGUGUGUAUUUACCGCCGUAUGAAUCAACCACAGUACGAUCAGCUGACGUUAUAACUUAUAAGGAUGAUCUCGUGCAGCGAUAUUAUUGAUAUGUUUUAAGUCUUUUCCAAGGACUCUCCACUGCAGCGUUUUCUUUCCACUCGGUUCUCUUCUUUUCAUCGCUCAGCUUGCACUUGCAAUGCUUAUACAUACUGAUCAAUCCCGUUCAAUUUUCCGUACAUUUUUCUCAAAAUCCAUAGCGUGGACGAAGUAGUGAUUUUCCGUACAAAUAUGGAAAAUACGGAAGGUUGAUGGCACUGUGUUGAGGCAGUUAUUGUUGACUUUAUUUGGAAUUAAUUCUGUCGUAUUUGCACACAUUCCUGAGUGCAUUGUAUUACUAUUAGCAUCCAAUGUGUGUUAUCUGUGCGAGCUUCUAACCUUGUGAACAUUCGAUCUUCCGGGAUGGCUCUUGCGGGCUCUCAGCCCUGCGUUCACUGCAUAAAACUUGGCAGAACAGUUCAAGUUUCAAUUUAGGCCAUUUCCUCACUCUGUGACUCCCAA
Long non-coding RNA from Sycon ciliatum, 1589 nucleotides. RefSeq lists it as uncharacterized. The record is from RefSeq and is a predicted model, not a curated record. The transcript has 3 exons. Lineage: Eukaryota; Metazoa; Porifera; Calcarea; Leucosolenida; Sycettidae.